Molecule: ribosomal RNA, 560 nt
Filed under: Oceanospirillum maris
Lineage: Bacteria; Pseudomonadati; Pseudomonadota; Gammaproteobacteria; Oceanospirillales; Oceanospirillaceae
Description: bacterial SSU rRNA
Rfam family: Bacterial small subunit ribosomal RNA
Source: RNAcentral
CGAGCGGCAGCGGGAAGUAGCUUGCUACUUUGCCGGCGAGCGGCGGACGGGUGAGUAACGCGUAGGAAUCUGCCCGGUAGCGGGGGAUAGCCCAGAGAAAUUUGGAUUAAUACCGCAUACGCCCUACGGGGGAAAGGAGGGGACUCUUCGGAGCCUUCCACUAUCGGAUGAGCCUGCGUGAGAUUAGCUUGUUGGUGAGGUAAAGGCUCACCAAGGCGACGAUCUCUAGCUGGUCUGAGAGGAUGAUCAGCCACACCGGAACUGAGACACGGUCCGGACUCCUACGGGAGGCAGCAGUGGGGAAUAUUGCACAAUGGGCGAAAGCCUGAUGCAGCCAUGCCGCGUGUGUGAAGAAGGCCUUAGGGUUGUAAAGCACUUUCAGCGAGGAGGAAAGGGUGUUGAUUAAUACUCAACAUCUGUGACGUUACUCGCAGAAGAAGCACCGGCUAACUCCGUGCCAGCAGCCGCGGUAAUACGGAGGGUGCAAGCGUUAAUCGGAAUUACUGGGCGUAAAGCGCGCGUAGGCGGCUUGUUAAGCCAGAUGUGAAAGCCCCGGGCUU